UGGACAGAUUAUUGUAUUCGACUGUAUUCCCGGCGUGAAAUAGUGAUUACACUGUUUUUAAAACGGAAAGUGAAUCAAUUAACAUAAUAGACUCCU
RNAcentral lists this microRNA precursor (96 nucleotides) under Nicotiana sylvestris (wood tobacco). RNAcentral's name for it is "MIR6152 microRNA precursor family". It matches the Rfam family "MIR6152 microRNA precursor family". RNAcentral also lists the same sequence under 1 other name. Lineage: Eukaryota; Viridiplantae; Streptophyta; Magnoliopsida; Solanales; Solanaceae. The record is from Rfam by way of RNAcentral.